This 731-nucleotide ribosomal RNA is filed under the name uncultured bacterium. RNAcentral's name for it is "bacterial SSU rRNA". It matches the Rfam family "Bacterial small subunit ribosomal RNA", at positions 579 to 1311 of the family's 1533-position model. The record is from RNAcentral.
UCAGGAAANUCUGGAGUGAAAGGCUAUGGCUCANCCAUAGUGUGCUCUGGAAACUNUCUGACUUGAGUGCAGAAGGGGAGAGUGGAAUUCCAUGUGUAGCGGUGAAAUGCGUAGAUAUAUGGAGGAACACCAGUGGCGAAAGCGGCUCUCUGGUCUGUCACUGACGCUGAGGCUCGAAAGCGUGGGUAGCGAACAGGAUUAGAUACCCUGGUAGUCCACGCCGUAAACGAUGAGUGCUAGGUGUUAGGCCCUUUCCGGGGCUUAGUGCCGGAGCUAACGCAAUAAGCACUCCGCCUGGGGAGUACGACCGCAAGGUUGAAACUCAAAGGAAUUGACGGGGGCCCGCACAAGCGGUGGAGCAUGUGGUUUAAGUCGAAGCAACGCGAAGAACCUUACCAGGUCUUGACAUCCCGAUGCUAUUCUUAGAGAUAGGAAGUUACUUCGGUACAUCGGAGACAGGUGGUGCAUGGUUGUCGUCAGCUCGUGUCGUGAGAUGUUGGGUUAAGUCCCGCAACGAGCGCAACCCUUAUUGUUAGUUGCCAUCAUUAAGUUGGGCACUCUAGCGAGACUGCCGGUAAUAAACCGGAGGAAGGUGGGGAUGACGUCAAAUCAUCAUGCCCCUUAUGACCUGGGCUACACACGUGCUACAAUGGUCGGUACAACGAGUUGCGAGCCGGUGACGGCAAGCUAAUCUCUGAAAGCCGAUCUCAGUUCGGAUUGGAGGCUGCAAC